GAUGAACGCUGGCGGCGUGCUUAACACAUGCAAGUCGAACGAAGUGGCGGACGGGUGAGUAACGCGUAAUAAACCUGCCCUUCAACGGGGGACAACAGUUGGAAACGACUGCUAAUACCGCAUACUGAAGGAGGGGAUUGCGUCUGAUUAGCUAGUUGGAGGGGUAACGGCCCACCAAGGCGAUGAUAAGUAGCCGGUCUGAGAGGAUGAACGGCCACAUUGGGACUGAGACAAGGCCCAGACUCCUACGGGAGGCAGCAGUGGGGAAGCUUCCGCAAUGGACGAAAGUCUGACGGAGCAACGCCGCGUGAGUGAUGACGGCCUUCGGGUUGUAAAGCUCUGUUAAGCGGGACGCGGUACCGGAAUAGAAAGCCACGGCUAACUACGUGCCAGCAGCCGCGGUAAUAC
RNAcentral lists this ribosomal RNA (408 nucleotides) under uncultured bacterium. Its description in RNAcentral is "partial 16S ribosomal RNA". It matches the Rfam family "Bacterial small subunit ribosomal RNA", at positions 28 to 526 of the family's 1533-position model. The record is from RNAcentral.